GGGAACUGUCUACAAGAGUUGGUGAGGUUGGUGAAGCCCUUCGGCUUUCGACACUAGUUCAGAACCACCGGUGUAGACACUGCAGAAUAUUCGAAAACUUUGGUCUCGUGACGAGUAUCAUGGCCACGCUAAGUGCCAAGCCAGGGCUCAGGUACAGUGUGUCCGACUGGGACCCCAGUAACAAGCUGAUGUCUGACACAGCAGAACAGAGGCGACACAUCUCACAUGAGACAUGUCAGGAAGGGAAGACCUUACGCAAUGAGACAACCAGCAAGCCUAAGCACUCACAAACUUCUACAGAUGCACAAUCGAGAGCAUCCUGUCGGGCUGUAUCACCGCAUGGUACGGCAAGUGCUCCGCCCACAACCGUAAGGCUCUCCAGAGGGGAGUGAGGUCUGCACAAUGCAUCACCGAGGGCAAACUACCUGCCCUCCAGGACACCUACACCACCUGAUGUCACAGGAAAGCCAUAAAGAUCAUCAAGGACAACAACCACCCGAGCCACUGCCUGUUCACCCCGCUGUCAUCCAGAAGGCGAGGUCAGUACAGGUGCAUCAAAGCAGGGACCGAGAGACUGAAAAACAGCUUCUAUCACAAGGCCAUCAGACUGUUAAACAGUCACCACUAACAUUGAGUGGCUGCUGCCAACAUACUGACUCAACUCCAGACACUUUUAAUAACGGAAAUUGAUGUAAAAAUGUAUCACUAGCCACUUUAAAUAAUGCCACUUAAUAUAAUGUUUACAUACCCUACAUUACUCAUCUCAUAUGUAUAUGUAUAUACUGUACUCUAUAUCAUCUACUGCAUCUUGCCAUCUUUAUGUAAUACAUGUAUCACGAGCCACUUUAAAUAAUGCCACUUAAUAUAAUGUUUACAUACCCUACAUUACUCAUCUCAUAUGUAUAUGUAUAUACUGGACUCUAUACCAUCUACUGCAUCUUGCCUAUGCCGUUCUGUACCAUCACUCAUUAAUAUAUCUUUAUAUACAUAUUCUUUAUCCCUUAAAACUUGUGUGUGUAUAAGGUAAUAGUUUUGGAAUUGUUAGGUUAGAUUACUCGUUGGUUAUUACUGCAUUGUCGGAACUAGAAGCACAAGCAUUUCACUACACUCCCAUUAACAUCUGCUAACCAUGUGUAUGUGACAAAUAAAA
Molecule: long non-coding RNA, 1150 nt
Organism: Oncorhynchus keta (chum salmon)
Lineage: Eukaryota; Metazoa; Chordata; Actinopteri; Salmoniformes; Salmonidae
Exons: 3
Source: RefSeq, a predicted model, not a curated record